UACGGGGGGUGCAAGCGUUACUCGGAAUCACUGGGCGUAAAGGGCGAGUAGGCGGCCUAGCAAGUCUGGUGUGAAAGCCCAGGGCUCAACCCUAGUAGGGCACGAGAAACUGUUAGGCUUGAGUUCCGGAGAGGAGGGGGGAAUUCCCUGUGUAGCGGUGAAAUGCGUAGAUAUCGGGAAGAAUACCGGUGGCGAAGGCGACUCACUGGAAGGAAACUGACGCUGAGGCGCGAAAGCGUGGGGAGCAAACAGG
RNAcentral lists this ribosomal RNA (253 nucleotides) under uncultured bacterium. RNAcentral's name for it is "partial 16S ribosomal RNA". It matches the Rfam family "Bacterial small subunit ribosomal RNA", at positions 524 to 776 of the family's 1533-position model. The record is from RNAcentral.